Motacilla alba alba is the source of this 894-nucleotide long non-coding RNA. RefSeq lists it as uncharacterized. The transcript is spliced from 3 exons. The record is from RefSeq and is a predicted model, not a curated record. NCBI's taxonomy places the organism in Eukaryota, Metazoa, Chordata, Aves, Passeriformes, Motacillidae.
CUGGGAAUGGGCAUCCAGUGAUGACAGAUUGAAUUAAUGGUCUUUAUCGCUGAUUCACUGACAAGGGUCUAAUCCUGGGAUGUCUGCCAUGAUAUGCAGCACAGAGCAUACACGGGAAAGCACAGACAAGGUUCUAACAAGUUCUAACUCGGAAAAGAGAGAAUGAGCCCAGCCCCCUUCCCUGCACAACUAUCUAUGGUUUUGGACGUGGUACUCUCUAGAAUGGCCUUUCUCCAUGCUAACAGGGACUGCUGGGAAUCUAUUUGCUGGCUAGUGUGGCCAAGCACAGGAGCUCUCCAGAUGGGAAACAUCUCUCUGGGAGAUUAGCAUGGUACGUCUGUCUCUGAGGGAAGCACCUGAACCCUGGGGCAGACACAAGGAAUGGGACCAGCCGCAGCAAUGAUGGAGAUCGGGAGGAGCAAGGAGCAAUUCACCUCCAGAGCACGAGAAGGACCAGUGCCAGUGGAAGGAGAACAAAAAGGACAUUACAACUACUGCCUGUAGCAUGACAGGCAGGCAGUUCCUGGGCUCCUGUGAGCUAGUUUCUGUUCCUGAAUUACCUGCUCUCAAGUAUUACCAUUCCUUUAAUGUAGCUUGAGGAUAUUGAAGAGCACAUGGACUAAAAAGUUUCUACAAACCUGCAUGUGCAAUUUUUUACCAGCUUCUUCUGGGUCUUCAAUUAUACAAGCAAUUAUUUCUGACCCUUCUAACAACAAUUACUCACAUUUCAAUAACCCUUUUCACAUGAACAUGUCACCACUCAGUCCACAAUUGAAGGUGAAGACCACUCCCGCUUACCAGCUGAUGAUCAGCAAAGGAAAUGGGCCUGAUAUGAUCUGUUAGAGACAGAUCUAACAUUUCAGUAGAACCUAUCUUUGUAAAGCAUCCAUAUUG